RNAcentral lists this ribosomal RNA (1569 nucleotides) under human gut metagenome. Its description in RNAcentral is "bacterial LSU rRNA". It matches the Rfam family "Bacterial large subunit ribosomal RNA", at positions 1335 to 2925 of the family's 2925-position model. The record is from RNAcentral.
GGCCGAAUAUCCAAGGUUUCCAGAGUAAAGCUGAUCUGCUCUGGGUAAGUCGGGGCCUAAGGCGAGGCUGAAAAGCGUAGCCGAUGGACAACAGGUUGAGAUUCCUGUACCGCGUAUCAUCAGAACUGUGGGGACACAGAAGGACAGCACAUCCCGGGAAUGGAAAGACCGGGGCAAGCAGGGUAGGAGUUAAGCUGGCAAAUCCGCUUAACAAUCCGAAGCUGUGAUGCGGAGCGAAUUUAAGUAGCGAAGUGUGCGAUUCCGGCUGUCAAGAAAAGCCGCUAUUGUGUGAUACGUGCCCGUACCGUAAACCGACACAGGUAGAUGAGGAGAGAAUCCUAAGGCCGGCGGGAGAAGCAUUGUUAAGGAACUCGGCAAAAUGACCCCGUAACUUCGGGAGAAGGGGUGCCUGCGAGAGCAGGCCGCAGAGAAUAGGCUCAAGCAACUGUUUAGCAAAAACACAGGUCUAUGCAAAACCGUAAGGUGAGGUAUAUGGGCUGACGCCUGCCCGGUGCUGGAAGGUUAAGAGGAGAGGUUAGAGCAAUCGAAGCUUUGAAUUGAAGCCCCAGUAAACGGCGGCCGUAACUAUAACGGUCCUAAGGUAGCGAAAUUCCUUGUCGGGUAAGUUCCGACCCGCACGAAAGGCGUAAUGAUUUGAGCGCUGUCUCGACAAUGCAUCCGGUGAAAUUGAAGUACCAGUGAAGAUGCUGGUUACCUGCGCCAGGACGGAAAGACCCCAUGGAGCUUUACUCCAGCUUGAUACUGGGAUUCGGUACUGCAUGUACAGGAUAGGUGGGAGACUGAGAACUAUGAACGCCAGUUUGUAGGGAGUCGCUGUUGGGAUACCACCCUUGCGGUAUUGGAUUUCUAACCUGCAGCCGUGAACCGGCUGGGGGACAAUGUCAGGCGGGGAGUUUGACUGGGGCGGUCGCCUCCGAAAGGGUAUCGGAGGCGCUCAAAGGUUCCCUCAGAAUGGUUGGAAACCAUUCGAAGAGUGCAAAGGCAGAAGGGAGCUUGACUGCGACACCGACGGGUGGAGCAGGUACGAAAGUAGGACUUAGUGAUCCGGUGGUAAUAAGUGGGAAUGCCAUCGCUCAACGGAUAAAAGCUACCCUGGGGAUAACAGGCUUAUCACUCCCAAGAGUUCACAUCGACGGAGUGGUUUGGCACCUCGAUGUCGGCUCAUCGCAUCCUGGGGCUGAAGUAGGUCCCAAGGGUUGGGCUGUUCGCCCAUUAAAGCGGUACGCGAGCUGGGUUCAGAACGUCGUGAGACAGUUCGGUCCCUAUCCGGCGCGGGCGUAAGAUAUUUGAGAGGAGCUGUCCUUAGUACGAGAGGACCGGGAUGGACGGGCCGCUGGUGUACCUGUUGGAGUGCCAACUCCAUGGCAGGGUAGCCAAGCCCGGACGGGAUAAACGCUGAAGGCAUCUAAGCGUGAAGCCCCCCUCAAGAUGAGAUAUCUCAUACGCAAGUAGUAAGACCCCUUGAAGACGACAAGGUAGAUAGGUCAGAGGUGGAAGUGUGGUGACACAUGGAGCUGACUGAUACUAAUCGGUCGAGGGCUUGACCAA